Molecule: transfer RNA, 76 nt
Filed under: Candidatus Moraniibacteriota bacterium
Lineage: Bacteria; Candidatus Moraniibacteriota
Description: tRNA-Thr
Rfam family: tRNA
About the family: Transfer RNA (tRNA) molecules are approximately 80 nucleotides in length. Their secondary structure includes four short double-helical elements and three loops (D, anti-codon, and T loops).
Source: RNAcentral
GCCGAAAUAGCUCAAUUGGUAGAGCAAUUGUUUUGUAAACAAUAGGUUACCGGUUCAAGUCCGGUUUUCGGCUCAA